GGGGAAUAUUGGACAAUGGGCGCAAGCCUGAUCCAGCCAUGCCGCGAGGGUGAAGAAGGCCUUCGGGUUGUAAAGCCCUUAUGUUGGGAAAGAAAAGCAGCCGGCCAAUACCCGGUUGUUCUGACGGUACCCAAAGAAUAAGCACCGGCUAACUUCGUGCCAGCAGCCGCGGUAAUACGAAGGGUGCAAGCGUUACUCGGAAUUACUGGGCGUAAAGCGUGCGUAGGUGGUGGUUUAAGUCCGUUGUGAAAGCCCUGGGCUCAACCUGGGAACUGCAGUGGAUACUGGAUCACUAGAUUGUGGCGAAGGAUAGUGGAAUUCCCGGUGUAGCAGUGAAAUGCGUAGAAUUCGGGAGAAACAUCAGUGGCAAAGGCGACUACCUGGGCCAACACUAACACUGAGGCACGAAGGCGUGGGGAGCAACCA
This 426-nucleotide ribosomal RNA is filed under the name uncultured Lysobacteraceae bacterium. Its description in RNAcentral is "bacterial SSU rRNA". It matches the Rfam family "Bacterial small subunit ribosomal RNA", at positions 356 to 774 of the family's 1533-position model. Lineage: Bacteria; Pseudomonadati; Pseudomonadota; Gammaproteobacteria; Lysobacterales; Lysobacteraceae. The record is from RNAcentral.